UGGGGAAUUUUGGACAAUGGGCGCAAGCCUGAUCCAGCCAUGCCGCGUGUCUGAAGAAGGCCUUCGGGUUGUAAAGGACUUUUGUCAGGGAAGAAAAGGACAGGGUUAAUACCUCUGUUUGAUGACGGUACCUGAAGAAUAAGCACCGGCUAACUACGUGCCAGCAGCCGCGGUAAUACGUAGGGUGCGAGCGUUAAUCGGAAUUACUGGGCGUAAAGCGAGCGCAGACGGUUACUUAAGCAGGAUGUGAAAUCCCCGGGCUCAACCUGGGAACUGCGUUCUGAACUGGGUGACUAGAGUGUGUCAGAGGGAGGUAGAAUUCCACGUGUAGCAGUGAAAUGCGUAGAGAUGUGGAGGAAUACCGAUGGCGAAGGCGGCCUCCUGGGAUAACACUGACGUUCAUGCUCGAAAGCGUGGGUAGCAAACAGGAUUAGAUACCCUGGUAGUCCACGCCCUAAACGAUGUCAAUUAGCUGUUGGGCAACUUGAUUGCUUAGUAGCGUAGCUNACGCGUGAAAUUGACCGCCUGGGGAGUACGGUCGCAAGAUU
This 548-nucleotide ribosomal RNA is filed under the name uncultured bacterium. RNAcentral's name for it is "bacterial SSU rRNA". It matches the Rfam family "Bacterial small subunit ribosomal RNA", at positions 355 to 895 of the family's 1533-position model. The record is from RNAcentral.